Molecule: ribosomal RNA, 496 nt
Filed under: uncultured bacterium
Lineage: Bacteria
Description: partial 16S ribosomal RNA
Rfam family: Bacterial small subunit ribosomal RNA
Source: RNAcentral
GAUGAACGCUGGCGGCGUGCCUAAUACAUGCAAGUCGAGCGAACGGACGAGAAGCUUGCUUUUCUGAUGUUAGCGGCGGACGGGUGAGUAACACGUGGAUAACCUACCUAUAAGACUGGGAUAACUUCGGGAAACCGGAGCUAAUACCGGAUAAUAUUUUGAACCGCAUGGUUCAAAAGUGAAAGACGGUCUUGCUGUCACUUAUAGAUGGAUCCGCGCUGCAUUAGCUAGUUGGUAAGGUAACGGCUUACCAAGGCAACGAUGCAUAGCCGACCUGAGAGGGUGAUCGGCCACACUGGAACUGAGACACGGUCCAGACUCCUACGGGAGGCAGCAGUAGGGAAUCUUCCGCAAUGGGCGAAAGCCUGACGGAGCAACGCCGCGUGAGUGAUGAAGGUCUUCGGAUCGUAAAACUCUGUUAUUAGGGAAGAAAAUAUGUGUAAGUAACUGUGCACAUCUUGACGGUACCUAAUCAGAAAGCCACGGCUAACUACGU